GCAAGUCGAGCGGAUGGAUUAAGAGCUUGCUCUUAUGAAGUUAGCGGCGGACGGGUGAGUAACACGUGGGUAACCUGCCCAUAAGACUGGGAUAACUCCGGGAAACCGGGGCUAAUACCGGAUAACAUUUUGAAUCGCAUGGUUCGAAAUUGAAAGGCGGCUUCGGCUGUCACUUAUGGAUGGACCCGCGUCGCAUUAGCUAGUUGGUGAGGUAACGGCUCACCAAGGCAACGAUGCGUAGCCGACCUGAGAGGGUGAUCGGCCACACUGGGACUGAGACACGGCCCAGACUCCUACGGGAGGCAGCAGUAGGGAAUCUUCCGCAAUGGACGAAAGUCUGACGGAGCAACGCCGCGUGAGUGAUGAAGGCUUUCGGGUCGUAAAACUCUGUUGUUAGGGAAGAACAAGUGCUAGUUGAAUAAGCUGGCACCUUGACGGUACCUAACCAGAAAGCCACGGCUAACUACGUGCCAGCAGCCGCGGUAAUACGUAGGUGGCAAGCGUUAUCCGGAAUUAUUGGGCGUAAAGCGCGCGCAGGUGGUUUCUUAAGUCUGAUGUGAAAGCCCACGGCUCAACCGUGGAGGGUCAUUGGAAACUGGGAGACUUGAGUGCAGAAGAGGAAAGU
RNAcentral lists this ribosomal RNA (625 nucleotides) under uncultured bacterium. Its description in RNAcentral is "bacterial SSU rRNA". It matches the Rfam family "Bacterial small subunit ribosomal RNA", at positions 57 to 662 of the family's 1533-position model. The record is from RNAcentral.